UGGGGAAUCUUGCGCAAUGGGCGAAAGCCUGACGCAGCAACGCCGCGUGUGUGAUGAAGGUCUUCGGAUCGUAAAGCACUGUCGGGAGGGACGAAUAAGGGCCGGGUGAACAAUCCGGUCUGACGACGGUACCUCCAGAGGAAGCACCGGCUAACUCUGUGCCAGCAGCCGCGGUAAUACAGAGGGUGCUAGCGUUGUUCGGAAUUAUUGGGCGUAAAGCGCGUGUAGGCGGCUGGCCAAGUCGGAUGUGAAAGCCCUCGGCUUAACCGAGGAAGUGCGUUCGAUACUAGCUAGCUCGAGUACCGGAGAGGGUGGUGGAAUUCCCGGUGUAGAGGUGAAAUUCGUAGAUAUCGGGAGGAACACCAGCGGCGAAGGCGACCACCUGGACGGAUACUGACGCUGAGACGCGAAAGCGUGGGGAGCAAACAGG
This 430-nucleotide ribosomal RNA is filed under the name uncultured bacterium. RNAcentral describes it as "bacterial SSU rRNA". It matches the Rfam family "Bacterial small subunit ribosomal RNA", at positions 355 to 776 of the family's 1533-position model. The record is from RNAcentral.